AAUAAAAGAGUAGGUAUGUUUUCCACUUCUGGUAACUUUCAAAGUAGUUCAUUUGUAAAAUUAUGGAGUAAGAGGGACUAUCAAGUUUAAUAUUAUAUAUCUUAGUAUUUCUUGGGUGAACACACAAGUUUGAAUUUUCUAUAAAUUGCAGUUAGAGACCUUAAGAAUAGUAAAAUUGCAUCAAUUUGGUUGCUAUGUGACUUGCCAUAUAUUAAGUUGGUAUUAUUAAGUUAGGAAGGAAGACAAUGCAAUUAAGUGAUUUGCUCCUGAUUUUUAUGUUCAGCCAAUUUAAAAUUUCAUUAUAUGUUUAAGAGUUAAUACAAAGAUUUAUACAUUGCUUUGUUUGGGGGUAAUCUGGGGAUAAAUUAAGAUAGUCAUUGAUUAUAUCAAUUGUCUAGCCUGUAUCUAUUAAUAUAUCUAUGUUUUGCCUAUAUCUAUAUGUAUCCAUAUUAUUAUAGUAAUGUCCAUUAAGUUAACUUUGCAUUACAGUUAAGGAUUAUGGGCACUAAAUACACUUAAAUGUUUGUAGAUUGGGGAACUCUAUAUGCAGCUUACAAUUUCAGAGACUUAAAAAAAUGAAUAUUCAGUGCCUGAUGGCUAUAACCAAUGCCAUAUUCAUUCCAAGCAUUGUCUGUAGAGUAGCUAAAAACUCUUUUUAUAACCUGCAAGGUAAUGCUAUUUAUUAUUUAAUAUUCUGGUAGUAUUCCCAUGUAUGUAAAGCAAGGAAUUUGCUAAUAAGAGACACUAAUAUAAUAGUUAAUAUUAAGUAGACUUUCAUGUCAUCUGGUCAUGUGCCACUAACUGCUUAGUUUUAUUUAUUUGUGAAAGUCCUCCCCUUUGAAUUGCUAGAAACUGUUGAAUGGUGUUAGUCUGAUAUUUUCAUGGAGGUGACUUGGCUGUUGCUAAUGUCAGAUUUAUCAUAAACAACUCAUAAAUAUAUAUAUAUAUAUAAAAUAAGCUAUACAUAGACUAUCACAAAAUAUAUAAAUUUAAUAUCCCACACAAAAGCUAUAACACCUAGUUUUUGUGGAGGCCAAUAAAAUGCUAUAUUUUAAUUUGUAUUUAAAUUUUAAAAUGAAUUUAAAAAUUAUUUUUAAAUGGGCAUUUAUUGGAAGAUAUAUUUAAUGUUAUUUGUCAAUUGAUUUCUUUCUUAGAAAGAUAAAUUCUUUGGAUGAUAUGAAUUAUUCUAAUCCACAUUUGGAAAACUUUUGUGGGCAUCUCUUAUUGAGAGAGAAAAAAAGAUUUUUUAGCUAGUUGACAUCUGUAUAAUAUUGCAUAGGAAGAUUUCUUGCAAGUGUAAGUUAAUCUACAUAGAUUUUUUCAGUAAUAAUCUCUAAAAUUCUUUUAUUUUUCACAAAAUUUGCAAAAUUUUAAAAAUAUGAAUAGAGUGAAGAAUUAAUUACAAAAUUUAGAGUUAGAAGCAAACAUUUUUUCUUUAUUUUCUGUUAAUAUGGAACUUUAAACUUUUAAUUUCUGUAUUAAUUACUCCCUUGGAAUAUUGAACAAUGGUAUACUCUUGAAGAAAAACUAUUUGCUUCACUGUGGUAUGUCCUGAAAUUAUUGGGAGCCUGCAGUAAAUUGAGGAAUAGAAGAUUAAAAAUAGUGAAUUGACGAGUCUUCAAGUUCAGUUGAGGGCCACAUUUCUCUUAUUCUAUACAGAAAAAAUAGCUAAAAAUCAUGUAUUUCAAAGUACUUUAAAAUAAUGAUGAAAUAAAAAUUGUAAAUAAAAAAUACACUCAAUUUUGUCCAUUUUCCCUUUGCAUGCUACAUUAAGAUUACCUAGUUUGGAAGAGUGGCUUUAAAGCUUAACACACAAUUCGAUUAAAAGAUCUGAUUAUUUAUAAUUCACUGACAAAAUCUGUCAUAGAUUAAUUGUAGCAUAUUUGGUAUUCAAGAAAAGUUUUAAAUUUAUUUUUUAUUACUUACAAUAGCAUAAAAGGCCUUUUUUUCAUUUUCUAGUAGAAGCUUGUUUAAUUUCCCAUAGCUAAUGUCUCCUAACAGUAAAUGCCAUGGACUGGUAAGCCUUCAUGCUCCUUGUGUGUGCUGAGAAGUUCAAAGGCAUUUGUGUGUGUGUGUUUUUUCUUUUUAAUAAAACCCUGUGAAUUCAGUGCGAAUCAUUUGGAAUGAUGUGUUUCUCACUGUAUACAAAUUAUUUUCAUGGUGUGCAUUUUCAUCCAUGUCCAAUAUGUCAGUGUAAUACUUUGUGAUGUUAUAUAGCCCAUACUUACAUGAUUAAAGUAUGCAUUUAUUUGGAUAAAUUCUGUGAAGAAAUUUUAUGCUGUUUUUAAAUGCUUUUCAAAAUAUAGCUCAGUGAAUGUAUUAUUGGGGGAUGGAUGUAUAUUGACAACAUUACCUAUUAAUGGAAUGCUUAUAUUCAUCAUGAAGCUUGUUGUUUUGAUUUUAAGAAAGAUCUAAAAGUUUAAUUUCUCCUUGAAGAAAAACAACAAAGUGAGGCAAGAAGACAGUUACUAAUGCCAACAUAGAAUGCUUAUAUCCACAAAAUAUAUGUAUAUUUUACUCUUCUUGCUUUUGUGUAGAAAUUAUAGAACGAAUAUCUGCUUUGAAUUUGAAAAUUUCAAAUUUGUAAUCUGUGUUGUAAUUGUCUUCUUACCUCAACUGUUUAUGUAUAGCAGUAUAUUCUGGACUAUGCCAUUAAAGUAGGAAGCCAGCUAACCUAGAUUUGGCAACAGCAUUGAAGGUUUAAACAUGUUUUUUCCAAGACUGUUGUCAAUAUAAAUAGAUUAAAUGGCUUUUAAUUU
This 2759-nucleotide long non-coding RNA is filed under the name Homo sapiens (human). RNAcentral describes it as "HSALNT0348989". The record is from RNAcentral. Lineage: Eukaryota; Metazoa; Chordata; Mammalia; Primates; Hominidae.